RNAcentral lists this ribosomal RNA (253 nucleotides) under uncultured bacterium. RNAcentral describes it as "partial 16S ribosomal RNA". It matches the Rfam family "Bacterial small subunit ribosomal RNA", at positions 524 to 776 of the family's 1533-position model. The record is from RNAcentral.
UACGAAGGGUGCAAGCGUUACUCGGAAUUACUGGGCGUAAAGCGUGCGUAGGUGGUUUGUUAAGUCUGUUGUGAAAGCCCCGGGCUCAACCUGGGAAUGGCAAUGGAUACUGGCAGGCUAGAGUGCGGUAGAGGGUAGUGGAAUUCCCGGUGUAGCGGUGAAAUGCGUAGAGAUCGGGAGGAACACCAGUGGCGAAGGCGGCUUCCUGGACCAGCACUGACACUGAGGCCCGAAAGCGUGGGGAGCAAACAGG